RNAcentral lists this ribosomal RNA (508 nucleotides) under uncultured fungus. RNAcentral describes it as "eukaryotic LSU rRNA". It matches the Rfam family "Eukaryotic large subunit ribosomal RNA", at positions 221 to 649 of the family's 3401-position model. The record is from RNAcentral. Lineage: Eukaryota; Fungi.
CAAUACACCGGAGUUCGCCGCGUACGACACAUGUUCACAGAGUCGAGUUGUUUGGGAUUGCAGCUCUAAUCAGGUGGUAAGUUUCAUCGAAAGCUAAAUAUUGGCGAGAGACCGAUAGCGAACAAGUACCGUGAGGGAAAGAUGAAAAGAACUUUGAAAAGAGAGUGAAAGAGUACUUGAAAUUGUUAAGAGGGAAGCGAUAGAAACUAGUCGUGACCCACCUCAAUUUGCUCUCGAUCCGUUCGCGUGUUGCUGUGUUAGGAUAGGUUACUCUUCCUUCAUGGUUUCAUCGCGGGCAGGUCGUGAGUUUCUGUGAGGUGGUUGUCGGGUCAGCAUGGGUUCAUUCGGUACGAGAAAGUUCAGGGGAAGGUGAGGUGAGCUUCGGUUCACUUGUUUAGCCCUUGGACCCUAGUACCGUUCUGGACUGAGGAAUGAUUUCAUGCGCCACACGGCCAAGGGUUCGCCCUUGUGCAUGAAGACGAUGCUGACGAAAUGGUUCCUAUCGACC